GAGCUUCAGCAGCACAUAUACAAAAACUGGAAUGAUUCUGAGAAGAUCAGCACAACCUCUGUACAAGCGUGACACGUGAAUUCAUGAAGCAUUCCAUUACUUU
Cebus imitator (Panamanian white-faced capuchin) is the source of this 103-nucleotide small nuclear RNA. NCBI's taxonomy places the organism in Eukaryota, Metazoa, Chordata, Mammalia, Primates, Cebidae. The record is from Ensembl.